This 82-nucleotide transfer RNA is filed under the name Colletotrichum falcatum. RNAcentral describes it as "tRNA-Glu". It matches the Rfam family "tRNA". Rfam says of the family: Transfer RNA (tRNA) molecules are approximately 80 nucleotides in length. Their secondary structure includes four short double-helical elements and three loops (D, anti-codon, and T loops). The record is from RNAcentral. Lineage: Eukaryota; Fungi; Ascomycota; Sordariomycetes; Glomerellales; Glomerellaceae.
UCCGGCAUGGUGUAGCGGUUAGCAUACUCCGCUUUCAAAUAGAAGGUCCGGAGAGAUCCGAGUUCGAUUCUCGGUGUCGGAA